UGAGGAAUAUUGGGCAAUGCCUGCAAGGGUGACCCAGCAACGCCGCGUGGAGGAUGAAUGUCGUAAGAUUGUAAACUCCUGUUAGAGGGGAAGAAUAGUACCGGUUGGACCGGUAUAUGACUGUACCCUCAGAGAAAGCCCCGGCUAACUACGUGCCAGCAGCCGCGGUAAUACGUAGGGGGCAAGCGUUGUCCGGAUUUACUGGGUGUAAAGGGCGCGCAGGCGGGAUAAAAAGUCAGUGGUGAAAUCCUACAGCUUAACUGUAGAACUGCCUCUGAUACUUUUAUUCUUGAGUUCGGGAGAGAGAGACGGAAUUCCAGGUGUAGUGGUGAAAUACGUAGAUAUCUGGAAGAACACCAGUUGCGAAGGCGGUCUCUUGGUCCGACACUGACGCUGAGGCGCGAAAGCGUGGGGAGCAAACA
Molecule: ribosomal RNA, 422 nt
Filed under: uncultured bacterium
Lineage: Bacteria
Description: bacterial SSU rRNA
Rfam family: Bacterial small subunit ribosomal RNA
Source: RNAcentral